CACGUAGGGUGCGAGCGUUGUCCGGAAUUAUUGGGCGUAAAGAGCUCGUAGGCGGUGUGUCGCGUCGGCCGUGAAAACCUGCAGCUUAACUGUGGGCGUGCGGUCGAUACGGGCAUCACUGGAGUUCGGCAGGGGAGACUGGAAUUCCUGGUGUAGCGGUGAAAUGCGCAGAUAUCAGGAGGAACACCGGUGGCGAAGGCGGGUCUCUGGGCCGAUACUGACGCUGAGGAGCGAAAGCGUGGGUAGCAAACGGG
This 254-nucleotide ribosomal RNA is filed under the name uncultured bacterium. RNAcentral describes it as "partial 16S ribosomal RNA". It matches the Rfam family "Bacterial small subunit ribosomal RNA", at positions 524 to 776 of the family's 1533-position model. The record is from RNAcentral.